AACUCAUGCUUGCAGGACUUCUCGCGGGCGGCUCCCUUCCUAUGGAAUAGCCUGCCUACUGCCAUCAGACUCUCCCCUAGUCUUGCAUCUUUUAAGAAGUGCCUUAAAACCCAUCUCUUUAGGAAAGCUUAUGGCCUCCAAGACUAACCUCUACCUUACAUACCUGUCUCUUGCUCUCUCCUAAAGGGCAGCCCACCUUAUUUGACUGCAAAUUCCUGUCCUAAUGUGUUUUACACCCCACCUCCCAUGGAAUGUAAGCUC
Pelobates cultripes (western spadefoot toad) is the source of this 261-nucleotide non-coding RNA. Lineage: Eukaryota; Metazoa; Chordata; Amphibia; Anura; Pelobatidae. The record is from the annotation of a GenBank genome assembly.